AAUCCAUAGGUUAAUGAGGCGAACCGGGGGAACUGAAACAUCUAAGUACCCCGAGGAAAAGAAAUCAACCGAGAUUCCCCCAGUAGCGGCGAGCGAACGGGGAGGAGCCCAGAGCCUGAAUCAGCAUGUGUGUUAGUGGAAGCGUCUGGAAAGGCGCGCGAUACAGGGUGACAGCCCCGUACACAAAAGCGCAUGUGCUGUGAGCUCGAUGAGUAGGGCGGGACACGUGGUAUCCUGUCUGAAUAUGGGGGGACCAUCCUCCAAGGCUAAAUACUCCUGACUGACCGAUAGUGAACCAGUACCGUGAGGGAAAGGCGAAAAGAACCCCGGCGAGGGGAGUGAAAAAGAACCUGAAACCGUGUACGUACAAGCAGUGGGAGCACAGGUUUACCUGUGUGACUGCGUACCUUUUGUAUAAUGGGUCAGCGACUUAUAUUCUGUAGCAAGGUUAACCGAAUAGGGGAGCCGGAGGGAAACCGAGUCUUAAUUGGGCGUUAAGUUGCAGGGUAUAGACCCGAAACCCGGUGAUCUAGCCAUGGGCAGGUUGAAGGUUGGGUAACACUAACUGGAGGACCGAACCGACUAAUGUUGAAAAAUUAGCGGAUGACCUGUGGCUGGGGGUGAAAGGCCAAUCAAACCGGGAGAUAGCUGGUUCUCCCCGAAAGCUAUUUAGGUAGCGCCUCGUGAAUUCAUCUCCGGGGGUAGAGCACUGUUUCGGCUAGGGGGCCAUCCCGGCUUACCAACCCGAUGCAAACUGCGAAUACCGGAGAAUGUUAUCACGGGAGACACACGGCGGGUGCUAACGUCCGUCGUGAAGAGGGAAACAACCCAGACCGCCAGCUAAGGUCCCAAAGUCAUGGUUAAGUGGGAAACGAUGUGGGAAGGCCCAGACAGCCAGGAUGUUGGCUUAGAAGCAGCCAUCAUUUAAAGAAAGCGUAAUAGCUCACUGGUCGAGUCGGCCUGCGCGGAAGAUGUAACGGGGCUAAACCAUGCACCGAAGCUGCGGCAGCGACGCUUAUGCGUUGUUGGGUAGGGGAGCGUUCUGUAAGCCUGUGAAGGUGUGUCGUGAGGCAUGCUGGAGGUAUCAGAAGUGCGAAUGCUGACAUAAGUAACGAUAAAGCGGGUGAAAAGCCCGCUCGCCGGAAGACCAAGGGUUCCUGUCCAACGUUAAUCGGGGCAGGGUGAGUCGACCCCUAAGGCGAGGCCGAAAGGCGUAGUCGAUGGGAAACGGGUUAAUAUUCCCGUACUUGGUGUUACUGCGAAGGGGGGACGGAGAAGGCUAUGUUGGCCGGGCGACGGUUGUCCCGGUUUAAGCGUGUAGGUGUGUGUUCCAGGUAAAUCCGGUUCACUUUAACACUGAGGCGUGAUGACGAGGCACUACGGUGCUGAAGUAACAAAUGCCCUGCUUCCAGGAAAAGCCUCUAAGCAUCAGGUAACAUCAAAUCGUACCCCAAACCGACACAGGUGGUCAGGUAGAGAAUACCAAGGCGCUUGAGAGAACUCGGGUGAAGGAACUAGGCAAAAUGGUGCCGUAACUUCGGGAGAAGGCACGCUGACACGUAGGUGAAGUGAUUUACUCAUGGAGCUGAAGUCAGUCGAAGAUACCAGCUGGCUGCAACUGUUUAUUAAAAACACAGCACUGUGCAAACACGAAAGUGGACGUAUACGGUGUGACGCCUGCCCGGUGCCGGAAGGUUAAUUGAUGGGGUCAGCGCAAGCGAAGCUCCUGAUCGAAGCCCCGGUAAACGGCGGCCGUAACUAUAACGGUCCUAAGGUAGCGAAAUUCCUUGUCGGGUAAGUUCCGACCUGCACGAAUGGCGUAAUGAUGGCCAGGCUGUCUCCACCCGAGACUCAGUGAAAUUGAACUCGCUGUGAAGAUGCAGUGUACCCGCGGCAAGACGGAAAGACCCCGUGAACCUUUACUAUAGCUUGACACUGAACAUUGAGCCUUGAUGUGUAGGAUAG
Molecule: ribosomal RNA, 1965 nt
Filed under: Salmonella enterica subsp. enterica serovar Dublin
Lineage: Bacteria; Pseudomonadati; Pseudomonadota; Gammaproteobacteria; Enterobacterales; Enterobacteriaceae
Description: partial 23S ribosomal RNA
Rfam family: Bacterial large subunit ribosomal RNA
Source: RNAcentral